This 466-nucleotide ribosomal RNA is filed under the name uncultured bacterium. RNAcentral's name for it is "partial 16S ribosomal RNA". It matches the Rfam family "Bacterial small subunit ribosomal RNA", at positions 30 to 507 of the family's 1533-position model. The record is from RNAcentral.
CGACCGCUGGCGGCGUGCUUAACACAUGCAAGUCGAACGGAAAGGCCCUGCUUUUGUGGGGUGCUCGAGUGGCGAACGGGUGAGUAACACGUGAGUAACCUGCCCUUGACUUUGGGAUAACUUCAGGAAACUGGGGCUAAUACCGGAUAGGAGCUCCUGCUGCAUGGUGGGGGUUGGAAAGGUUCGGCGGUUGGGGAUGGACUCGCGGCUUAUCAGCUUGUUGGUGGGGUAGUGGCUUACCAAGGCUUUGACGGGUAGCCGGCCUGAGAGGGUGACCGGCCACAUUGGGACUGAGAUACGGCCCAGACUCCUACGGGAGGCAGCAGUGGGGAAUAUUGCACAAUGGGCGGAAGCCUGAUGCAGCAACGCCGCGUGCGGGAUGACGGCCUUCGGGUUGUAAACCGCUUUCGCCUGUGACGAAGCGUGAGUGACGGUAAUGGGUAAAGAAGCACCGGCUAACUACGUG